This 493-nucleotide ribosomal RNA is filed under the name uncultured bacterium. RNAcentral's name for it is "partial 16S ribosomal RNA". It matches the Rfam family "Bacterial small subunit ribosomal RNA", at positions 29 to 507 of the family's 1533-position model. The record is from RNAcentral.
ACGAACGCUGGCGGCGUGCUUAACACAUGCAAGUCGAACGGUGAAGCGCCUUCCUUUUUGGUGGGUGUGGAUGAGUGGCGAACGGGUGAGUAACACGUGAGUAACCUGCCCCCUUCUUCUGGAUAACCGCAUGAAAGUGUGGCUAAUACGGGAUAUUCUGGGUCUGUCGCAUGAUGGGUCUAGGAAAGAUAUUGUUUCGGUGGGGGAUGGGCUCGCGGCCUAUCAGCUUGUUGGUGGGGUGAUGGCCUACCAAGGCGGUGACGGGUAGCCGGCCUGAGAGGGUGGACGGUCACACUGGGACUGAGACACGGCCCAGACUCCUACGGGAGGCAGCAGUGGGGAAUAUUGCACAAUGGGCGCAAGCCUGAUGCAGCGACGCCGCGUGAGGGAUGGAGGCCUUCGGGUUGUGAACCUCUUUCGCCAGUGAAGCAGGCCUGCCUCGUUUGUGGGUGGGUUGACGGUAGCUGGAUAAGAAGCGCCGGCUAACUACGUG